CACAGCACUCUGCAAACACGAAAGUGGACGUAUAGGGUGUGAUGCCUGCCCGGUGCUGGAAGGUUAAUUGAUGGGGUUAGCGAAAGCGAAGCUCUUGAUCGAAGCCCCAGUAAACGGCGGCCGUAACAAUAACGGUCCUAAGGUAGCGAAAUUCCUUGUCGGGUAAGUUCCGACCUGCACGAAUGGCAUAAUGAUGGCGGCGCUGUCUCCACCAGAGACUCAGUGAAAUCGAAAUCGCGGUGAAGAUGCCGUGUACCCGCGGCUAGACGGAAAGACCCCGUGAACCUUUACUGCAGCUUUGCACUGAACUUUGACCUUACUUGUGUAGGAUAGGUGGGAGGCUAUGAAACUCGGACGCCAGUUCGAGUGGAGCCAUCCUUGAAAUACCACCCUGGUAAUGUUGAGGUUCUAACCCAGUCCCGUUAUCCGGGACGGGGACAGUGUAUGGUGGGUAGUUUGACUGGGGC
RNAcentral lists this ribosomal RNA (467 nucleotides) under uncultured bacterium. Its description in RNAcentral is "bacterial LSU rRNA". It matches the Rfam family "Bacterial large subunit ribosomal RNA", at positions 1814 to 2280 of the family's 2925-position model. The record is from RNAcentral.